CCUUCCCAGUGCCUGAGGCUGAAUGUGAGUUGAGAAAUCUAAGGGCGGGUGGUGGGGCCCCGCCUCAGAGAGCCCCAAACGUGACACCAUGAAGAUGCCAGUCCUUCCUGCUGUGGCCCUGCUCUCCCUCCUGGCGCUCCACUCUGCUCAGGGGGCCACCCUGGGGAGUUCUGAGG
Molecule: non-coding RNA, 176 nt
Organism: Manis javanica (Malayan pangolin)
Lineage: Eukaryota; Metazoa; Chordata; Mammalia; Pholidota; Manidae
Source: RefSeq, a predicted model, not a curated record